UACGUAGGGUGCGAGCGUUAAUCGGAAUUACUGGGCGUAACGCGUGCGCAGGCGGUUAUGCAAGACCGAUGUGAAAUCCCCGGGCUCAACCUGGGAACUGCAUUUGUGACUGCAUGGCUAGAGUACGGUAGAGGGGGAUGGAAUUCCGCGUGUAGCAGUGAAAUGCGUAGAUAUGCGGAGGAACACCGAUGGCGAAGGCAAUCCCCUGGACCUGUACUGACGCUCAUGCACGAAAGCGUGGGGAGCAAACAGG
RNAcentral lists this ribosomal RNA (253 nucleotides) under uncultured bacterium. RNAcentral describes it as "partial 16S ribosomal RNA". It matches the Rfam family "Bacterial small subunit ribosomal RNA", at positions 524 to 776 of the family's 1533-position model. The record is from RNAcentral.